RNAcentral lists this ribosomal RNA (498 nucleotides) under uncultured bacterium. Its description in RNAcentral is "partial 16S ribosomal RNA". It matches the Rfam family "Bacterial small subunit ribosomal RNA", at positions 28 to 523 of the family's 1533-position model. The record is from RNAcentral.
GAUGAACGCUAGCUACAGGCUUAACACAUGCAAGUCGAGGGGUAGCAGGGUAGCAAUACCGCUGACGACCGGCGCACGGGUGAGUAACACGUAUCCAACCUUCCCAUAACUCGGGGAUAGCCUUUCGAAAGAAAGAUUAAUACCCGAUAGUACUUAACAAAGGCAUCUUUGAUAAGUUAAAGAUUUAUUGGUUAUGGAUGGGGAUGCGUUCCAUUAGAGAGUUGGUGAGGUAACGGCUCACCAAGUCUUCGAUGGAUAGGGGUUCUGAGAGGAAGGUCCACCAAAUUGGUACUGAGACACGGACCAAACUCCUACGGGAGGCAGCAGUGAGGAAUAUUGGUCAAUGGGCGAGAGCAUUAACCAGCAAAGUAGCGUGAAGGAUGAAGGUCCUAUGGAUUGUAAACUUCUUUUAUAGUAGAAUAAAGUGAUCCACGUGUGGAUUUUUGUAUGUAUACUAUGAAUAAGGAUCGGCUAACUCCGUGCCAGCAGCCGCCGUAA